RNAcentral lists this transfer RNA (61 nucleotides) under Streptocephalus sirindhornae. RNAcentral describes it as "tRNA-Pro". It matches the Rfam family "tRNA". From Rfam's summary of the family: Transfer RNA (tRNA) molecules are approximately 80 nucleotides in length. Their secondary structure includes four short double-helical elements and three loops (D, anti-codon, and T loops). The record is from RNAcentral. Lineage: Eukaryota; Metazoa; Arthropoda; Branchiopoda; Anostraca; Streptocephalidae.
CAAGAAAUAGUUUAUUAAAAUACUAACUUUGGAAGUUAGAGAUACUAUUAAGUUUUCUUGA